GUAUAACCAUGGUAGAUUGGUGAAGAACCUACUGAUUCAUUUUGGAGGUGUAUAUAUUAAUGGAUGAGAAGAAACAUUCACUUCAGGUUUUCACUGACAGAGGCAGAGCAGAAAUCAGAUGUCCGAUUCUUGGUGAGUGACCAUGAUUUCAUUCAAGUAGUUCACAGACAUUAUUAGUGCAUGAGACUUAUGUGACCUCUUGUACCUGUG
Molecule: long non-coding RNA, 210 nt
Filed under: Felis catus (domestic cat)
Lineage: Eukaryota; Metazoa; Chordata; Mammalia; Carnivora; Felidae
Description: lncRNA (ENSFCAG00000053750.1)
Source: RNAcentral